This 630-nucleotide ribosomal RNA is filed under the name uncultured Methylobacter sp. RNAcentral describes it as "bacterial SSU rRNA". It matches the Rfam family "Bacterial small subunit ribosomal RNA", at positions 202 to 820 of the family's 1533-position model. The record is from RNAcentral. Lineage: Bacteria; Pseudomonadati; Pseudomonadota; Gammaproteobacteria; Methylococcales; Methylococcaceae.
AGGGGACCUUCGGGCCUUUCGCUAACAGAUGAGCCUGCGUUGGAUUAGCUAGUUGGUGGGGUAAGGGCCCACCAAGGCGACGAUCCAUAGCUGGUCUGAGAGGACGAUCAGCCACACUGGGACUGAGACACGGCCCAGACUCCUACGGGAGGCAGCAGUGGGGAAUAUUGGACAAUGGGCGAAAGCCUGAUCCAGCAAUACCGCGUGUGUGAAGAAGGCCUUAGGGUUGUAAAGCACUUUCAAUUGGGAGGAAAACCUGUCGGUCAAUACCCGGCAGCUUGACAUUACCUUUAGAAGAAGCACCGGCUAACUCCGUGCCAGCAGCCGCGGUAAUACGGAGGGUGCGAGCGUUAAUCGGAAUUACUGGGCGUAAAGCGUGCGUAGGCGGUUCGUUAAGUCAGAUGUGAAAGCCCUGGGCUCAACCUGGGAACUGCAUUUGAAACUGGCGGACUAGAGUUUAGUAGAGGGGAGUGGAAUUUCAGGUGUAGCGGUGAAAUGCGUAGAUAUCUGAAGGAACACCAGUGGCGAAGGCGACUCCCUGGACUAGAACUGACGCUGAGGUACGAAAGCGUGGGUAGCAAACAGGAUUAGAUAUCCUGGUAGUCCACGCCGUAAACGAUGUCGACUAGC